AACGAACGCUGGCGGCAUGCCUAACACAUGCAAGUCGAACGAGACCUUCGGGUCUAGUGGCGCACGGGUGCGUAACGCGUGGGAACCUGCCCUUAGGUUCGGAAUAACUCCCCGAAAGGGGUGCUAAUACCGGAUAAUGUCUUCGGACCAAAGAUUUAUCGCCUUUGGAUGGUCCCGCGUUGGAUUAGCUAGUUGGUAGGGUAAAAGCCUACCAAGGCGACGAUCCAUAGCUGGUCUGAGAGGAUGAUCAGCCACACUGGGACUGAGACACGGCCCAGACUCCUACGGGAGGCAGCAGUGGGGAAUAGUGGACAGUGGGCGAAAGCCUGAUCCAGCAAGGCCGCGUGAGUGAUGAAGGCCGUAGGGUUGUAAAGCUCUUUUACCCGGGAUGAUAAUGACAGUACCGGGAGAAUAAGCUCCGGCUAACUCCGUG
This 433-nucleotide ribosomal RNA is filed under the name uncultured bacterium. RNAcentral describes it as "partial 16S ribosomal RNA". It matches the Rfam family "Bacterial small subunit ribosomal RNA", at positions 29 to 507 of the family's 1533-position model. The record is from RNAcentral.